Molecule: ribosomal RNA, 254 nt
Filed under: uncultured bacterium
Lineage: Bacteria
Description: partial 16S ribosomal RNA
Rfam family: Archaeal small subunit ribosomal RNA
Source: RNAcentral
UACCAGCACCCCGAGUGGUCGGGACGAUUAUUGGGCCUAAAGCAUCCGUAGCCGGUUCUGCAAGUCCCCCGUUAAAUCCAGCUGCUCAACAGAUGGGCCGCGGAGGAUACUACAGAGCUAGGAGGCAGGAGAGGCAAGCGGUACUCAGUGGGUAGGGGUAAAAUCCGUUGAUCCAUUGAAGAACCACCAGUGGCGAAGGCGGCUUGCCAGAAUGCGCUCGACGGUGAGGGAUGAAAGCUGGGGGAGCAAACCGG